RNAcentral lists this ribosomal RNA (463 nucleotides) under uncultured bacterium. Its description in RNAcentral is "bacterial SSU rRNA". It matches the Rfam family "Bacterial small subunit ribosomal RNA", at positions 28 to 491 of the family's 1533-position model. The record is from RNAcentral.
GAUGAACGCUGGCGGCGUGCUUAACACAUGCAAGUCGAGCGAAGCACCUAAGAAAGAUUCUUCGGAUGAAUUCUUUUGUGACUGAGCGGCGGACGGGUGAGUAACGCGUGGGUAACCUGCCUCAUACAGGGGGAUAACAGUUAGAAAUGACUGCUAAUACCGCAUAAGACCACGGUACUGCAUGGUACAGUGGUAAAAACUCCGGUGGUAUGAGAUGGAUCCGCGUCUGAUUAGCUAGUUGGUGGGGUAACGGCCUACCAAGGCGACGAUCAGUAGCCGACCUGAGAGGGUGACCGGCCACAUUGGGACUGAGACACGGCCCAAACUCCUACGGGAGGCAGCAGUGGGGAAUAUUGCACAAUGGGGGAAACCCUGAUGCAGCGACGCCGCGUGAAGGAUGAAGUAUUUCGGUAUGUAAACUUCUAUCAGCAGGGAAGAAAAUGACGGUACCUGACUAAGAAGC